Long non-coding RNA from Hippocampus comes (tiger tail seahorse), 1941 nucleotides. RefSeq lists it as uncharacterized. NCBI's taxonomy places the organism in Eukaryota, Metazoa, Chordata, Actinopteri, Syngnathiformes, Syngnathidae. The transcript is spliced from 3 exons. The record is from RefSeq and is a predicted model, not a curated record.
AAUAACCACGUGAUAAUAUACAGUUCUGUGUCUUGAAGGUAUAUGGGAAACAUGCACGUAUUUUAAAUAUGUAAUUAUCAAAAAAAUGAAAUUAAAAAGAAAUGCCUUUGCACGUGUUUUCUGUUCUUUAUGCUCCAACUUUCCCACGUUUUUUUAAGCGUGCGUAAAUACAGUAAGCGUAAAUGCGCACAGAAUCGCUGCUGAACUCAUUGACUGUUUCCUUCACCCCGGUGAGCCUGUGCGCUCUUCCCCGAUCAACGCGCCCCUUCCAGCAAUUAGCCUUGAAACUUCCCACCACGGAGCGAGUGAAAGCUUCCUCUCCAAGCUGUGGAUCUGCUUGACGCGCUCUUCCAACCACCCCACCCAAACCAGAACACUCUGGAGAAAAAGCUACACGUGGAUUGGACUUGAUGAAAAUCCUUCUCGAAACUCACCAGACAUGACGACAGAGAUGAUGAGAAGUUUCCCUGAUCAAGACCCGUGGGGCUCCUCAAUGUCCCUUUCUGCCUCAGCACAAUGACCAAGAACGAAAAUUGUACAAAAGUCUCCAAAAAUACCAACCCAAAUCUCUUAGAGCAGCCUCAGAGCAUACAACAAUAUUGUAAUGCAGCUGGGAACAUAUUAGUUUGGGAUUUUCUCCCUCCAUGCCUACUAUUUAAAACCCUUAGAACUCAAUGAUUUGACAAUGAUUUGAUUGCGCGUUACUUUCGAUUUGAAUAUUCAGAGGCAACGGAGUUAUAUCGAUUUUUAGGCAAAAUACACUAAAUUGGUGCAUUCUAUAUGUACAUUUUUAAUAGAUGAUCACUUUAUUUUACAUUUGGAUCGAAAAUAAAUCAUAUUUCUACUCAUUUAUCCUCCUUUUGAAAGAUGACAGCAGCACACCCCCUCAUUAAGCAGGAGGGCAAGCGUGCGUCUUCUGCGCAACUUAAACACCGUAACCUCACUUUAAUCGAUCACCACAUAUUGGAAGGGCUCGCCCCAAGCGUCAAUACCGCGAUCGGACACAUUUAAUGCUUUUAUAAUGAAAAAAGCGGAGAAAAGUGGGACUCGGGUGGGCGUGGCAAAGGGCAGUAGCCAUCUUUGGAUCCGCGGGCCUUCAGCAAGUGCAGAAAGAGCAGAAACGGGUCCAAUUAUGACGUCUGAAGGGGUUCAGAUUCAACUGGAUUCCGUAUUUUAAAAAAUAGUUUUAUUCUCUUUAUUCGUUAUUGCACCUAACUAGUUAAACGAUUUUUUUUCAAUACAAAUAAAGGACACCAUGUUGACUCAUAGUCUAAAUUCACUUGUUUCAUUCAGUUUUGGCUCGUUUGCUGUUAUGCAUUUUUGGGUUUUGGAAACUGGAGUUGUUAUAAUGUCGUCUACUAAAAUGUAUACAUUGUGCCAUACUUUUGCUCAGUUAUGUUGAGCAAACGGCUCGUAUAGACAAACGGCCAUUUCCAUCAGAUCGAUAUGGCUACAAUAAUGUGACAGUAGCAUUCAAGGCAAGUUUGAGAUUUUGAUUCAGUUUUUAGGGUCACCACUAAGAGUAGUCGUUAAUUAUUGUCAGUACUGUAAUAUAUUGCAGAAGAAAUCAAUAGGUGUUCACACUUUGUGCCUAAAAUACUGUUUUGGUAAUUCAUUUAUCAGGGCUAUGUUUUAUAUUCUGUCUUGUUUUUAUAUUUUGUACUUUUCCUCAUGCAUAUUUUUAUUUUAGUUUAGUUUUUUUUUUGCGGUAUUUCACUAAUCUAAUGCACAGUACUGUACGUUUCUUGCGCGGACAAACCUCUCUCUCUCUCUCUCUCUCUCUCUCUCUCUCUCUCGCUCUCUCAGGCGAUGUAAUGUCGCCCCCUGCUGUUCAAAAAUGAGAACGUCGUCUUUCCUCGAACCCAUCCUCAGAUACAAAAAUCACGUUUCCCUGUUUAAAUCCACCCUUUUUUAUUUAAUAAAACGACAUUUGGAAUUACA